GAUCAUGGCUCAGGAUGAACGCUGGCGGCGUGCUUAACACAUGCAAGUCGAACGGGAAUACUUUAAGCUUGCUAGUGUAAUCUAGUGGCGGACGGGUGAGUAACGCGUGGGCAACCUGCCUUAUACCGGGGGACAACAGUUGGAAACGGCUGCUAAUACCGCAUAAGCGCACAGUAUCGCAUGAUACAGUGUGAAAAACUCCGGUGGUAUAAGAUGGACCCGCGUCUGAUUAGCUAGUUGGCGGUGCAACGGACCACCAAGGCGACGAUCAGUAGCCGGCCUGAGAGGGUGAACGGCCACAUUGGGACUGAGACACGGCCCAAACUCCUACGGGAGGCAGCAGUGGGGAAUAUUGCACAAUGGAGGAAACUCUGAUGCCAGCGACGCCGCGUGAGUGAAGAAGUAUUUCGGUAUGUAAAGCUCUAUCAGCAGGAAAGAAAAUGACGGUACCUGACUAAGAAGCCCCGGCUAACUACGUGCCAGCAGCCGC
Molecule: ribosomal RNA, 490 nt
Filed under: uncultured bacterium
Lineage: Bacteria
Description: bacterial SSU rRNA
Rfam family: Bacterial small subunit ribosomal RNA
Source: RNAcentral